Molecule: ribosomal RNA, 467 nt
Filed under: uncultured bacterium
Lineage: Bacteria
Description: partial 16S ribosomal RNA
Rfam family: Bacterial small subunit ribosomal RNA
Source: RNAcentral
ACGAACGCUGGCGGCGUGCUUAACACAUGCAAGUCGAACGGAAAGGCCCUGCUUUUGUGGGGUGCUCGAGUGGCGAACGGGGGAGUAACACGUGAGUAACCUGCCCUUGACUUUGGGAUAACUUCAGGAAACUGGGGCUAAUACCGGAUAGGAGCUCCUGCUGCAUGGUGGGGGUUGGAAAGUUUCGGCGGUUGGGGAUGGACUCGCGGCUUAUCAGCUUGUUGGUGGGGUAGUGGCUUACCAAGGCUUUGACGGGUAGCCGGCCUGAGAGGGUGACCGGCCACAUUGGGACUGAGGUACGGCCCAGACUCCUACGGGAGGCAGCAGUGGGGAAUAUUGCACAAUGAGCGGAAGCCUGAUGCAGCAACGCCGCGUGCGGGAUGACGGCCUUCGGGUUGUAAACCGCUUUCGCCUGUGACGAAGCGUGAGUGACGGUAAUGGGUAAAGAAGCACCGGCUAACUACGUG